AGUGGGGAAUAUUGCACAAUGGGGGAAACCCUGAUGCAGCAACGCCGCGUGAGUGAUGAAGGUUUUCGGAUCGUAAAGCUCUGUCUUUGGGGAAGAUAAUGACGGUACCCAAGGAGGAAGCCACGGCUAACUACGUGCCAGCAGCCGCGGUAAUACGUAGGUGGCGAGCGUUAUCCGGAUUUACUGGGCGUAAAGGGAGCGUAGGCGGAUGAUUAAGUGGGAUGUGAAAUACCCGGGCUCAACUUGGGUGCUGCAUUCCAAACUGGUUAUCUAGAGUGCAGGAGAGGAGAGUGGAAUUCCUAGUGUAGCGGUGAAAUGCGUAGAGAUUAGGAAGAACACCAGUGGCGAAGGCGACUCUCUGGACUGUAACUGACGCUGAGGCUCGAAAGCGUGGGGAGCAAACAGGAUUAGAUACCCUGGUAGUCCACGCCGUAAACG
This 438-nucleotide ribosomal RNA is filed under the name Clostridium perfringens. RNAcentral's name for it is "bacterial SSU rRNA". It matches the Rfam family "Bacterial small subunit ribosomal RNA", at positions 353 to 808 of the family's 1533-position model. Lineage: Bacteria; Bacillati; Bacillota; Clostridia; Eubacteriales; Clostridiaceae. The record is from RNAcentral.